CACAUGCAGUCGAACGAUGAAGCCCUUCGGGGUGGAUUAGUGGCGAACGGGUGAGUAACACGUGGGCAAUCUGCCCUUCACUCUGGGACAAGCCCUGGAAACGGGGUCUAAUACCGGAUAAUACUUUCUCUCUCAUGGGGGAAGGUUAAAAGCUCCGGCGGUGAAGGAUGAGCCCGCGGCCUAUCAGCUAGUUGGUGGGGUAAUGGCCUACCAAGGCGACGACGGGUAGCCGGCCUGAGAGGGCGACCGGCCACACUGGGACUGAGACACGGCCCAGACUCCUACGGGAGGCAGCAGUGGGGAAUAUUGCACAAUGGGCGAAAGCCUGAUGCAGCGACGCCGCGUGAGGGAUGACGGCCUUCGGGUUGUAAACCUCUUUCAGCAGGGAAGAAGCGAAAGUGACGGUACCUGCAGAAGAAGCGCCGGCUAACUACGUGCCAGCAGCCGCGGUAAUACGUAGGGCGCAAGCGUUGUCCGGAAUUAUUGGGCGUAAAGAGCUCGUAGGCGGCUUGUUGCGUCGGUUGUGAAAGCCCGGGGCUUAACCCCGGGUCUGCAGUCGAUACGGGCAGGCUAGAGUGUGGUAGGGGAGAUCGGAAUUCCUGGUGUAGCGGUGAAAUGCGCAGAUAUCAGGAGGAACACCGGUGGCGAAGGCGGAUCUCUGGGCCAUUACUGACGCUGAGGAGCGAAAGCGUGGGGAGCGAACAGGAUUAGAUACCCUGGUAGUCCACGCCGUAAACGUUGGGAACUAGGUGUUGGCGACAUUCCACGUCGUCGGUGCCGCAGCUAACGCAUUAAGUUCCCCGCCUGGGGAGUACGGCCGCAAGGCUAAAACUCAAAUGAAAUU
RNAcentral lists this ribosomal RNA (844 nucleotides) under Streptomyces beijiangensis. RNAcentral's name for it is "bacterial SSU rRNA". It matches the Rfam family "Bacterial small subunit ribosomal RNA", at positions 52 to 912 of the family's 1533-position model. Lineage: Bacteria; Bacillati; Actinomycetota; Actinomycetes; Kitasatosporales; Streptomycetaceae. The record is from RNAcentral.